This 75-nucleotide transfer RNA is filed under the name bacterium. RNAcentral describes it as "tRNA-Arg". It matches the Rfam family "tRNA". Rfam says of the family: Transfer RNA (tRNA) molecules are approximately 80 nucleotides in length. Their secondary structure includes four short double-helical elements and three loops (D, anti-codon, and T loops). RNAcentral also lists the same sequence under 2 other names. The record is from RNAcentral.
GCGCCCGUAGCUCAGUUGGAUUAGAGCGUAUGAUUCCGGUUCAUAAGGUCACAGGUUCGAAUCCUGUCGGGCGUA